AGUCGGGGGCAGCAGCAAGAUGCGAAGCGAGCCGUACAGAUCCCGGGCUCUCCGAACGCAACUUCGCCCUGCUUGAGCGAGGCUGCGGUUUCCGAGGCCCUCUCCAGCCAAGGAAAAGCUACACAAAAAGCCUGGAUCACUCAUCGAACCACCCCUGAAGCCAGUGAAGGCUCUCUCGCCUCGCCCUCUAGCGUUCGUCUGGAGUAGCGCCACCCCGGCUUCCUGGGGACACAGGGUUGGCACCAUGGGGCCCACCAGCGUCCCGCUGGUCAAGGCCCACCGCAGCUCGGUCUCUGACUACGUCAACUAUGAUAUCAUCGUCCGGCAUUACAACUACACGGGAAAGCUGAAUAUCAGCGCGGACAAGGAGAACAGCAUUAAACUGACCUCGGUGGUGUUCAUUCUCAUCUGCUGCUUUAUCAUCCUGGAGAACAUCUUUGUCUUGCUGACCAUUUGGAAAACCAAGAAAUUCCACCGACCCAUGUACUAUUUUAUUGGCAAUCUGGCCCUCUCAGACCUGUUGGCAGGAGUAGCCUACACAGCUAACCUGCUCUUGUCUGGGGCCACCACCUACAAGCUCACUCCCGCCCAGUGGUUUCUGCGGGAAGGGAGUAUGUUUGUGGCCCUGUCAGCCUCCGUGUUCAGUCUCCUCGCCAUCGCCAUUGAGCGCUAUAUCACAAUGCUGAAAAUGAAACUCCACAACGGGAGCAAUAACUUCCGCCUCUUCCUGCUAAUCAGCGCCUGCUGGGUCAUCUCCCUCAUCCUGGGUGGCCUGCCUAUCAUGGGCUGGAACUGCAUCAGUGCGCUGUCCAGCUGCUCCACCGUGCUGCCGCUCUACCACAAGCACUAUAUCCUCUUCUGCACCACGGUCUUCACUCUGCUUCUGCUCUCCAUCGUCAUUCUGUACUGCAGAAUCUACUCCUUGGUCAGGACUCGGAGCCGCCGCCUGACGUUCCGCAAGAACAUUUCCAAGGCCAGCCGCAGCUCUGAGAAGUCGCUGGCGCUGCUCAAGACCGUAAUUAUCGUCCUGAGCGUCUUCAUCGCCUGCUGGGCACCGCUCUUCAUCCUGCUCCUGCUGGAUGUGGGCUGCAAGGUGAAGACCUGUGACAUCCUCUUCAGAGCGGAGUACUUCCUGGUGUUAGCUGUGCUCAACUCCGGCACCAACCCCAUCAUUUACACUCUGACCAACAAGGAGAUGCGUCGGGCCUUCAUCCGGAUCAUGUCCUGCUGCAAGUGCCCGAGCGGAGACUCUGCUGGCAAAUUCAAGCGACCCAUCAUCGCCGGCAUGGAAUUCAGCCGCAGCAAAUCGGACAAUUCCUCCCACCCCCAGAAAGACGAAGGGGACAACCCAGAGACCAUUAUGUCUUCUGGAAACGUCAACUCUUCUUCCUAGAACUGGAAGCUGUCCACCCACCGGAAGCGCUCUUUACUUGGUCGCUGGCCACCCCAGUGUUUGGAAAAAAAUCUCUGGGCUUCGACUGCUGCCAGGGAGGAGCUGCUGCAAGCCAGAGGGAGGAAGGGGGAGAAUACGAACAGCCUGGUGGUGUCGGGUGUUGGUGGGUAGAGUUAGUUCCUGUGAACAAUGCACUGGGAAGGGUGGAGAUCAGGUCCCGGCCUGGAAUAUAUUUUCUACCCCCCUGGAGCUUUGAUUUUGCACUGAGCCAAAGGUCUAGCAUUGUCAAGCUCCUAAAGGGUUCAUUUGGCCCCUCCUCAAAGACUAAUGUCCCCAUGUGAAAGCGUCUCUUUGUCUGGAGCUUUGAGGAGAUGUUUUCCUUCACUUUAGUUUCAAACCCAAGUGAGUGUGUGCACUUCUGCUUCUUUAGGGAUGCCCUGUACAUCCCACACCCCACCCUCCCUUCCCUUCAUACCCCUCCUCAACGUUCUUUUACUUUAUACUUUAACUACCUGAGAGUUAUCAGAGCUGGGGUUGUGGAAUGAUCGAUCAUCUAUAGCAAAUAGGCUAUGUUGAGUACGUAGGCUGUGGGAAGAUGAAGAUGGUUUGGAGGUGUAAAACAAUGUCCUUCGCUGAGGCCAAAGUUUCCAUGUAAGCGGGAUCCGUUUUUUGGAAUUUGGUUGAAGUCACUUUGAUUUCUUUAAAAAACAUCUUUUCAAUGAAAUGUGUUACCAUUUCAUAUCCAUUGAAGCCGAAAUCUGCAUAAGGAAGCCCACUUUAUCUAAAUGAUAUUAGCCAGGAUCCUUGGUGUCCUAGGAGAAACAGACAAGCAAAACAAAGUGAAAACCGAAUGGAUUAACUUUUGCAAACCAAGGGAGAUUUCUUAGCAAAUGAGUCUAACAAAUAUGACAUCUGUCUUUGGCACUUUUGUUGAUGUUUAUUUCAGAAUGUUGUGUGAUUCAUUUCAAGCAACAACAUGGUUGUAUUUUGUUGUGUUAAAAGUACUUUUCUUGAUUUUUGAAUGUAUUUGUUUCAGCAGAAGUCAUUUUAUUGGAUUUUUCUAACCCGUGUUAACACCAUUGAAUGUGUAUUUCUUAAGAAAAUACCACCCUCUUGUGCCCUUAAAAGCAUUACUUUAACUGGUAGGGAACGCCAGAAACUUUUCAGUCCAGCUAUUCAUUAGAUAGUAAUUGAAGAUAUGUAUAAAUAUUACAAAGAAUAAAAAUAUAUUACUGUCUCUUUAGUAUGGUUUUCAGUGCAAUUAAACCGAGAGAUGUCUUGUUUUUUUAAAAAGAAUAGUAUUUAAUAGGUUUCUGACUUUUGUGGAUCAUUUUGCACAUAGCUUUAUCAACUUUUAAACAUUAAUAAACUGAUUUUUUUAAAGAUCCCUUUGUGAAGAGCAUUCUUAAAAAUAAUUAUUGAGUCAUCUACUGGAUUGUGUAGCUCUUUGGAAUCAAAGUGAAGGACAAAUUUCUAUUAUUCUUUAAAGGAUUUUUACCUUAACUAGGGUGUGAAAAAAGUGUGGUUUGUUUAGAAACCACUCUAUCUUUUUCAGGAAGAGAAACUUCAAUAAGUUAACACUGAAGAGUAGUAAAGAAUGAGAUAAAAACCACCAACCUUCUGAAUACCACAUUGGCUAGACACUGUCUUGGCUUCUCCCAGCCUAUCUUCUGAACCACAUAGAAGUAUACAGUAUCAGUGAAGCAGCUAGCUGUAAAAUGUGGGCUGAGUAGCAUAACACUUUUAUCUGAAAACCUUCAAUUCAUAGUAUCUGAAAGCAUUAAUAUUCUCAGUCAUUAAUUUUUCCAACUACAAAAUGAAGGCACUUUGCAAGCAUCACAGACUUAUUGUAAUAGUUAAUUCUUGUUUUUGAUUAUUGUCAUCUUUUGGGGGAUUAAAGUGUUUUGGCAUGUUGGGCUCUCUAA
RNA transcript from Homo sapiens (human), 3318 nucleotides. It is a transcript of the gene named sphingosine-1-phosphate receptor 1, with no coding region annotated. The record is from RefSeq and is marked reviewed. NCBI's taxonomy places the organism in Eukaryota, Metazoa, Chordata, Mammalia, Primates, Hominidae. The transcript has 3 exons.